UUUCUUAGUGUUCCACUUGCAGUACCAAUAUUGAUUUGUGUUGUGACCUAAACUAAGCACUAAUAUCUUAAUCUUCUCUUCAGAUAAAAAAAAAAUGUUGGCAAUGUGCUCAUUAAAAAGGUCACAGUUAAGAUUAUUAUGCAAAGUGUUUUGAUGUGCUUGAGUAAUGAAGAAAUAUAAAGCACUGAAGAACACAAGGUAUCUGGUAUAAAGCCAGCAGAGUGUAGCUACUUUUAACACAUGCCUCUAUCAAGCAGGCUUCUUAGAAAGUAAAUAGAUUGUGCUUGCCAGGUUGUUCAAUUUUUGCUCUAUUUGAGUAAGAUGUAGUUCAACAGUAUGGUGACUGAUAGGUAACAGUUUAUUUAUCUAGAAACUUGUGUUUUUAAGGAACCUCGAGUGUUUCAUUGAGAUUGUGCCCUGUAUCAUUGUAUCUCACUGGGUGUCAGCUGCUUGUUCAACUAUGAACUUUGUUUCCCAGUUGUUGGGGGAAAUAAUAGGACUUUAAGCAGAUGUGACAUAGGAGCUUCCUCAUCUGUGAUGGAAAAGUGGGAAGAAAAAAAGAAGUAAAAAACAUUUACUACUAUGUUUACUACUUGGCUGAUGCCUCAGGAAGAUGGAUGGAUGUGUGAAGCUCAUCUGCUACUAACUUGGUAACUUUAAAUGUUGAUGAGACUCAGUUAGGAAGUCUUCUGUGUAAGGAGUUGCACAAAGAACACGCUCUGUGCUGUUCCCCCUGCAGAUGAAGUUUUGGACGAGAACGUAGUAUUUUGGGAGAGCGCUCUGCUCCUCGGACACAGCCUUCCCUCACAGGGUGAGUUAAAUAGACGUUGGACUGCAGGAGUUCUACACGUUCGGUUUCAGCUCUUUUAAAUAAAAUGUAAAUCCUAGGAGAACGAAGGCCACAAAUCUCCUGGAUUUCCUGAGCUUCGCAGGAAUAUGCUGUCUCCUCUUGGGACCACAACAUAUGGGCAGAGAUGUGGCUCAGUUUGCAGUAAGCUUCCGCUUCUGAAUGGCUUGCCGUCCCUGACAGAUCCAAGGGAACUAUUUGACCUCCCUGCAUGUGCCUUUCAGUCAGUCCUCCUCAGUGUGCUGCUGCGGGUAGAGCAGACAUGAGAAUUUGAGUAGGAGCACUUUAAAGCAGUUCACGAUGAUAGCAUAUUCUCCCGUCUGAGGAGAACGAGGCUAGGAACAAACAUAAAGACUGCAGAAAGGAUGAAGUGAGAAGACUGCAGAAAGGAUGAAGUGAGAGAUCUCGGAGAGCUUGAUUAGGAAGGAAAGUUCUCUGCCUGUGGUUCAGAAGGCACAGAAGCUGAAAUACAGU
Molecule: long non-coding RNA, 1321 nt
Organism: Oxyura jamaicensis (ruddy duck)
Lineage: Eukaryota; Metazoa; Chordata; Aves; Anseriformes; Anatidae
Exons: 4
Source: RefSeq, a predicted model, not a curated record